RNAcentral lists this ribosomal RNA (445 nucleotides) under Bacillus velezensis. Its description in RNAcentral is "bacterial SSU rRNA". It matches the Rfam family "Bacterial small subunit ribosomal RNA", at positions 445 to 880 of the family's 1533-position model. The record is from RNAcentral. Lineage: Bacteria; Bacillati; Bacillota; Bacilli; Caryophanales; Bacillaceae.
AAGAACAAGUGCCGUUCAAAUAGGGCGGCACCUUGACGGUACCUAACCAGAAAGCCACGGCUAACUACGUGCCAGCAGCCGCGGUAAUACGUAGGUGGCAAGCGGUGUCCGGAAUUAUUGGGCGUAAAGGGCUCGCAGGCGGUUUCUUAAGUCUGAUGUGAAAGCCCCCGGCUCAACCGGGGAGGGUCAUUGGAAACUGGGGAACUUGAGUGCAGAAGAGGAGAGUGGAAUUCCACGUGUAGCGGUGAAAUGCGUAGAGAUGUGGAGGAACACCAGUGGCGAAGGCGACUCUCUGGUCUGCAACUGACGCUGAGGAGCGAAAGCGUGGGGAGCGAACAGGAUUAGAUACCCUGGUAGUCCACGCCGUAAACGAUGAGUGCUAAGUGUUAGGGGGUUUCCGCCCCUUAGUGCUGCAGCUAACGCAUUAAGCACUCCGCCUGGGGAG